UGGGGAAUAUUGCACAAUGGAGGAAACUCUGAUGCAGCGACGCCGCGUGAGUGAAGAAGUAAUUCGUUAUGUAAAGCUCUAUCAGCAGGGAAGAUAGUGACGGUACCUGACUAAGAAGCUCCGGCUAAAUACGUGCCAGCAGCCGCGGUAAUACGUAUGGAGCAAGCGUUAUCCGGAUUUACUGGGUGUAAAGGGAGUGUAGGUGGCAUCACAAGUCAGAAGUGAAAGCCCGGGGCUCAACCCCGGGACUGCUUUUGAAAUUGUGGAGCUAGAGUGCAGGAGGGGCAAGUGGAAUUCCUAGUGUAGCGGUGAAAUGCGUAGAUAUUAGGAGGAACACCAGUGGCGAAGGCGGCUUGCUGGACUGUAACUGACACUGAGGCUCGAAAGCGUGGGGAGCAAACAGGAUUAGAUACCCUGGUAGUCCCUGAGACGCCAAGGCACACAGGGGGA
This 450-nucleotide ribosomal RNA is filed under the name uncultured Lachnospiraceae bacterium. RNAcentral describes it as "bacterial SSU rRNA". It matches the Rfam family "Bacterial small subunit ribosomal RNA", at positions 355 to 823 of the family's 1533-position model. The record is from RNAcentral. Lineage: Bacteria; Bacillati; Bacillota; Clostridia; Lachnospirales; Lachnospiraceae.